UGAUUUAUUAUUUUAUUUUGGUUAAUUUUUCUUAAUUUUUAUUAUUUUUUUUUCUUUUAGUAUUUUAAUGAAUUUAUUUUUUUUUGUGAACUGAAUAGGUUUAUUUUUAAAUAUUUAAAAAUAAUUUUUAGUACCUUUUGUAUCAGGGUUAGUUUAUUAAAAUAUUUAUUAUUUAUUUCCCGAAUUGAAAAUAUUUAGAUUUAAAUUAGAUUUUAUGUUUUAUAAUAUUUCUUAAUUUAAUUCUGGUAGUAAAAAGUUAUUCGUUUUUCAUAUGUAUCUGGUUUUCUAGGAAAAAAUUUAAUUUUGGAAAUAUUGGGUAUAAUUUUAUUUAAUUUAUUUCUUAUUAAUUUGGGGAUAAGCUCAUUUUAGGUUUAAAAUUUAUAUAUUUUUAUUUUUAUUAGUUUUAAUAUUUUUCAUUAAGUUCUUAAUAGAUUUUAAUUUUUAUUUAAUGAUUUUUUUUUAUUUAUAUUUUUAUUAGAAUUUUUUAAGUAAUUUAUUUUUAUUAUAAAUAAUGAUUGAAUUAGUAUAAUUUUUAUUUAUUAAUUAAUGAAUUCGACAAAUAUUACUUUCAACUGUUUAACAAAAACAUUUCUUUUAGAUUUUAAUUAAAAGUAUUUUCUGCCCUAUGAUUUAAAAUUUAAAUGGCUGCAGUAUUUUGACUGUGCAAAGGUAGCAUAAUAAUUAGUCUUUUAAUUGAGGACUGGAAUGAAAGGAUAUAUGAAAAGUAUUUUUUAUUAUUUUUAUCAUUAUAAUUUUAUUUUUGAGUAAGAAAGCUUAAUUUUGUUUUAGGGACGAAAAGACCCUAUAGAACUUUAGUUAUUAAAUUAUUUAAUUAGAUUUUAGUAUAUAUAUAAGUUAUAUUUUUAAUAUUUUAAUUGGGGGGAUUAGUAAAUUUAAACUUUAUUUUUUUUAUUCAUUUUAUUUAUGAUUGUUAUGAUCCAUUAUUUAUUUAUGAUUAAAAGAUUAAGUUACCUUAGGGAUAACAGCGUAAUUUUAAUGGGGAGAUCAUAUCUAUAUUAAAGUUUGCGACCUCGAUGUUGAAUUAAGAAAAGUUUAAGGGGGAGUUUCUUUAAUUACUAAGUCUGUUCGACUUUUAAAUUCUUACAUGAUUUGAGUUCAGAUCGGCGUGAGCCAGAUCGGUUUCUAUCUUAAAAAUUUUAUAUUGUUUUAGUACGAAAGGACCAAAUAAUACUAUUAUUUAAUUUAUAGUUUUGGCUUUAAUUA
Molecule: ribosomal RNA, 1224 nt
Filed under: Mileewa alara
Lineage: Eukaryota; Metazoa; Arthropoda; Insecta; Hemiptera; Cicadellidae
Description: 16S ribosomal RNA
Source: RNAcentral